This 70-nucleotide transfer RNA is filed under the name Clostridioides difficile. RNAcentral's name for it is "tRNA-Lys". It matches the Rfam family "tRNA". From Rfam's summary of the family: Transfer RNA (tRNA) molecules are approximately 80 nucleotides in length. Their secondary structure includes four short double-helical elements and three loops (D, anti-codon, and T loops). Lineage: Bacteria; Bacillati; Bacillota; Clostridia; Peptostreptococcales; Peptostreptococcaceae. The record is from RNAcentral.
UUAGCUCAGUCGGUAGAGCACCUGACUUUUAAUCAGGGUGUCCCGCGUUCGAGUCGCGGAUAGAUCACCA